RNAcentral lists this transfer-messenger RNA (371 nucleotides) under chicken gut metagenome. It matches the Rfam family "transfer-messenger RNA". From Rfam's summary of the family: Bacterial tmRNA, also known as 10Sa RNA or SsrA, is named for its dual tRNA and mRNA-like properties. The record is from RNAcentral.
GGGGUAGUAAUGGUAUCGACAUAUAUUACUACAUAUGACGGCAAGUGGUUUGGCACCUUAAGCCUACAAUUAAAAUUAAAUGACAAGAGUGAAAACUCAUUUGCUUCAAAUGCUUAUGCAUUUGCCUAAUUAAUUAAUAGAUAGGAAUAGCAAGCUUCUCUUAAUUUUGCUUAUAGGAUUAUGAGGGGUUCAUAAAUAUAAGAUAUACUUAUUUACUUGUUUAGGAUAAAUAAGCGAAUAUUUACUAAACUUAGGAUUAUAAUCGGUUGGUCUUGAGCCAGUUGUAAUCUGAAAUUAAAAUCAAGCUAAACUUGUAGAUGUUAUAUGAUAGGAUAUAUUGGACAGGAGUUCGACUCUCCUCUACUCCACCA